RNAcentral lists this ribosomal RNA (440 nucleotides) under uncultured bacterium. RNAcentral's name for it is "partial 16S ribosomal RNA". It matches the Rfam family "Bacterial small subunit ribosomal RNA", at positions 338 to 795 of the family's 1533-position model. The record is from RNAcentral.
CCUACGGGCGGCAGCAGUGGGGAAUAUUGCACAAUGGGCGAAAGCCUGAUGCAGCAACGCCGCGUGAAGGAAGACGGUUUUCGGAUUGUAAACUUCUGUUCUUAGUGACGAAUAAUGACGGUAACUAAGGAGCAAGCCACGGCUAACUACGUGCCAGCAGCCGCGGUAAUACGUAGGUGGUAAGCGUUGUCCGGAAUUACUUGGUGGAAAGGGUGCGCAGGCGGAGGAACAAGUCAGCGGUAAAAUCGCGGGGCUCAACCCCGCUCCGCCGUUGAAACUGUGUCCCUUGAGUGCGCGAAGGGUAGGCGGAAUGCGUGGUGUAGCGGUGAAAUGCAUAGAUAUCACGCAGAACUCCGAUCGCGAAGGCAGCCUACCGGCGCGCAACUGACGCUCAUGCACGAAAGCGUGGGUAUCGAACAGGAUUAGAUACCCGUGUAGUC